GAUCCGGUAGGUCAGCUGGUUAGAAUGCCGCCCUGUCACGGCGGAGGUCGCGGGUUCGAGUCCCGUCCGGAUCG
Molecule: transfer RNA, 74 nt
Filed under: Chryseobacterium luquanense
Lineage: Bacteria; Pseudomonadati; Bacteroidota; Flavobacteriia; Flavobacteriales; Weeksellaceae
Description: tRNA-Asp
Rfam family: tRNA
About the family: Transfer RNA (tRNA) molecules are approximately 80 nucleotides in length.
Source: RNAcentral